RNAcentral lists this ribosomal RNA (434 nucleotides) under uncultured Prevotellaceae bacterium. RNAcentral's name for it is "bacterial SSU rRNA". It matches the Rfam family "Bacterial small subunit ribosomal RNA", at positions 341 to 792 of the family's 1533-position model. The record is from RNAcentral. Lineage: Bacteria; Pseudomonadati; Bacteroidota; Bacteroidia; Bacteroidales; Prevotellaceae.
ACGGAAGGCAGCAGUGGGGAAUAUUGGGCAAUGGGCGCAAGCCUGACCCAGCAAUGCCGCGUGAAGGAAGAAGGCUUUCGGGUUGUAAACUUCUUUUAAGUGGGACGACAAUGACGGUACCACUUGAAUAAGCUCCGGCUAACUACGUGCCAGCAGCCGCGGUAAUACGGAGGAUCCGAGCGUUAUCCGGAUUUAUUGGGUUUAAAGGGAGCGUAGGCGGAAGGUCAAGUCAGCUGCGAAAUGUAGUCGCUCAACGUCUGCACUGCAGUUGAAACUGGCCUCCUUAAGUGCGUAAGAGGCAGGUGGAAUUCGUCGUGUAGCGGUGAAAUGCUUAGAUAUGACGAAGAACUCCGAUUGCGAAGGCAGCUUGCUGGGCCGCAACUGACGCUGAAGCUCGAAGGUGCGGGUAUCAAACAGGAUUAGAUACCCUGGUA